Molecule: ribosomal RNA, 566 nt
Filed under: uncultured bacterium
Lineage: Bacteria
Description: bacterial SSU rRNA
Rfam family: Bacterial small subunit ribosomal RNA
Source: RNAcentral
CACAGCGGAGGAACAUGUGGUUUAAUUCGAUGAUACGCGAGGAACCUUACCCGGGUUUGAACGUAGGGAGACAGGGGUGGAAACAUCCUUUUCAGCAAUGACUGCUACGAGGUGCUGCAUGGUGUCGUCAGCUCGUGCCGUGAGGUGUCGGCUUAAGUGCCAUAACGAGCGCAACCCUUAUUUCCAGUUACUAACAGGUGAUGCUGAGGACUCUGGAGAGACUGCCAGCGUAAGCUGUGAGGAAGGUGGGGAUGACGUCAAAUCAGCACGGCCCUUACAUCCGGGCGACACACGUGUUACAAUGGUAAGGACAAAGGGCAGCUACCGGGCGACCGGAUGCGAAUCUCUAAACCUUAUCUCAGUUCGGAUCGGAGUCUGCAACUCGACUCCGUGAAGCUGGAUUCGCUAGUAAUCGCGCAUCAGCCAUGGCGCGGUGAAUACGUUCCCGGGCCUUGUACACACCGCCCGUCAAGCCAUGGGAGCCGGGAGUACCUGAAGUUCGUAACCGCAAGGAUCGACCUAGGGUAAAACUGGUGACUGGGGCUAAGUCGUAAAAAGGUAACCUA